GAACUGACCCCAAAUUCCACAGAAUCAGCCCCAAAAUCUCAAGAACUGACCCCAAAUUCCACAAAAUCAGCCCUAAAAUCUCAGGAAUUGACCCCAAACUCUCAGGAACUGAUCCCAAAUUCUGCAGAACCAGACCCAAAUUCUCAUGAAAUGACCCCAAAUUCUCAGGAACUGAACCCAAACUCUCACAAACGGACCCCAAAAUCCUAACCCCAAAUUCUGCAGAAUAGGCCCCAAAAUCUCAGGAACUGACCCUAAACUCUUGGGAACUGACCCCAAAUUCCACAGAAUCAGCCCCAAAAUCUCAGGAAUUAACCCCAAACUCUCAGGAACUGAUCCCAAAUCCUCCAGAAUUGGCCCCAAGUUCUCAGGAACUGACCCCAGAUUCCACGGAUGCGGCCCCAAAUUCCACAGAUUCAACCCCAAAUUCCACGGCCUCGGCCCCAAACUCUCACAAACUGACCCCAAACUCUCAGGGCCGGACCCCAAAUUCUGCAGAAUCCACCCCAAAUUCUCCACCUGUGACCACAACGGAUCCGGGUUCAGGGUGGGACAGGGAUGGAGGGGGAUGGGUUGGGGUGGGGGUGGGGGCAGAGGGAGCCCCCCCCUCCCGCAUCGCCGCCCCCCCCACGAUGUCGGCGUCGACGGCGCUCCUUCAGAUUCUCCAGAAACGGUUAAAAAAUAAAUUACGGGUUUGUUUUUUUUUUUGUGUGUGUGUGUGGAUGUUUUCGUUUUUCCUCUCCCUUUCCCCUCCGCUUCGGGGCCGAGGCGCCGCUAGAACUCGUCGUGCCGCACCAGCGCCUCGCCGAAGUCGGUGGCCUGGCUGCCCACGAACAGGUCGUACUUGGCCACGAUCUCCUCCCGCGUCAGGCGACCGUCCUGGGAGACAGCG
RNAcentral lists this long non-coding RNA (892 nucleotides) under Numida meleagris (helmeted guineafowl). Its description in RNAcentral is "lncRNA (ENSNMEG00000002049.1)". Lineage: Eukaryota; Metazoa; Chordata; Aves; Galliformes; Numididae. The record is from RNAcentral.